CAGCCGCCGCGGUAAUACGGAGGGCGCGAGCGUUGUCCGGAUUCACUGGGCGUAAAGCGUGCGCAGGCGGCCCGUUAAGACAGGUGUGAAAUCCCUGGGCUCAACCUAGGAAUUGCGCUUGUGACUGGCGGGCUCGAGUACGGUAGAGGGGGGUGGAAUUCCUGGUGUAGCAGUGAAAUGCGUAGAGAUCAGGAGGAACACCGAUGGCGAAGGCAGCCCCCUGGGCCUGUACUGACGCUCAUGCACGAAAGCGUGGGGAGCAAACAGGAUUAGAUACCCUGGUAGUCCACGCCCUAAACGAUGGGUACUAGCCGUUUGGUGCGCGACAGCGCUGAGUGGCGAAGCUAACGCGUGAAGUACCCCGCCUGGGGAGUACGGCCGCAAGGUUGAAACUUAAAGGAAUUGGCGGG
Molecule: ribosomal RNA, 410 nt
Filed under: uncultured microorganism
Description: bacterial SSU rRNA
Rfam family: Bacterial small subunit ribosomal RNA
Source: RNAcentral